Molecule: ribosomal RNA, 251 nt
Filed under: uncultured bacterium
Lineage: Bacteria
Description: partial 16S ribosomal RNA
Rfam family: Bacterial small subunit ribosomal RNA
Source: RNAcentral
AGUCGAACGCAGUAGCAAUACUGAGUGGCAAACGGGUGAGUAUAAUGUGGGAAUCUGCCUUUUGGUUCGGAAUAACACGAGGAAACUUGUGCUAAUACCGGAUAAGCCCUUACGGGGAAAGUUUUAAUGCCAAAAGAUGAGCCCGCAUUUGAUUAGUUAGUUGGUAAGGUAAUGGCUUACCAAGACUACAAUCAAUAGCUGAUUUGAGAGGAUGAUCAGCCACACUGGGACUGAGAUACGGCCCAAACUCC